CAGAAGGAUGCAUUUUUAAUUAAAUCCCUAGAAUUACCCAAUGCCAACCAAGGAAAAUAAAAAACGGCGACAAGACAUUAUGAGGAAAUUUCCACAUGUAGAUGUUGACAAAGACCUGCUCUAUUUUUAAAAUGAAGAUAUAUAUACUGACAUAUAGUGUACAUGUACCUUGAAGAUUUGUCCCCCUUGUAAAUACAAGAAAUGCAAAGUAUACACAGAUGUGUACAUACACAUAAAAGGAGACAUCAUCUCAUGAUCUGUGGAUCCAUUGAAAACUUUAAGGACAAAACUGUUGAUAAUUCAUUCAUGUAAAGAGUGUUGACUUGAAUAUUGAAUAUCUAAAUGGAACUAAGUUAGAGAAUUAAUUUAAUAAGUAUUAUAUUGUAUAUUACUCUUUUUAUUCAUCUGUCAAAUUUCUUAAUUAAAAAUUAAAUUUAAAGGCUUAAAUAAGGAUUUUUUUCAUUAUUUUAAUUAGAACAAGUUCUUUAAUUUAUUUUUCUCUUACAUAAUUGAUAAACAGGCAUUUAAGGUCAUGCGCAAUGUAGUUUGCACUUUAUUGGGUUCUUCCCUGGAGUUCAAUAGUUCCACUAAAGGAAGGACCUGUGUGCAAUAUUUUUAUUGUCUAUAUAUGGAUUUGUAAAUCUCCUCUAAAACAGUUUUGAUGAAAAAAAAAUCUGGAAUUUAUGUUUUGUAAUUUUUGUACAUUUUUCUUUGAAUAAUGCAAAAAAUUUCAAACUUUAAUAUCUUUUCAAAAUCCCUGGAAAUGCAUGCUGAUUUUUUGUCUAAAAAUAUGUAAUAUGGUACAUGUAUUAUAAGUUUAAAUAUAGAAUUUCUUGAAAAAUUAUCAGUAGGUAAGAUACCUUGCAUAUUUCCUUAAAUGUAAAAUGAAGGGAUGUGUACCUUUAUUAAAUGAA
Long non-coding RNA from Saccostrea cuccullata (small rock oyster), 914 nucleotides. RefSeq lists it as uncharacterized. The record is from RefSeq and is a predicted model, not a curated record. NCBI's taxonomy places the organism in Eukaryota, Metazoa, Mollusca, Bivalvia, Ostreida, Ostreidae. The transcript is spliced from 3 exons.